GCUUCCAACGGUCGCAAGGGUCGAGUCCUUCCGCACCCUCCCCUCACGACGGGCGGGCGGGGUCCCUCCGUUCGUCUGAGGAGAAAAAACAAAUAAAUAAGUAAAUAAACAAAAUGAAUCAAUAAAUCAAUAACCAGUUUUCCAGGUGUGCUUCUGGGACAAAACGAGGUGAAAACCAGUCCUUUUACCAACACUCUUUGGAAGAACAAACUCAGACGUUGAGGUUACCGGGAAAUGCAGGGGCUUGCCAUAAAUACAGAGCAUGACAAAGCCAGCUGGAAGGGGUACUGCAGGGCGUACUGCAGAGGUCUGGGUGAGUGUGCAGAGUCAAUGUCCUCAACUGAACUAUUCUAAAUUCUAAAACUGCAGUCAUAAAAAAAAAGUGACCCCACCCAGCCUGUCCCCACCAGACCUGAGCCCCUUGUGUGAUUGUCCCCAGCUGAUGGAUCUCUGCCUUGUUCCUUGUAAGCACCAGGUGUGGUCAGCUCUGGCACGGCACCCAGACUGGAACCCAGAGCAGGAACAUCUAAACAAUUCUGCAGGACGCAGCUCAAAGUCUGGGGGGCUGGCACCGAGUGCUACUGAACCUCGAUGGACUUGGGAAAAUUUGGAAAUGUGACAGAGGCAGCAGUUAACAGAUUUCUAUUGGUAUCCCAGGGGCCUAUGAGCACAAAGAAAUAACACCAGAGGCUCCGGGCUGAUGUUGCCUCUAACGCAGCAUGUAUCAGCCUGCUCAGCCUCUGCCGAGGUGUCAAGCUCCCCCUGUUGGUAAAUAACCAAUCAUUCCAUCUGAAGCCAUCUUUACAAGGCGUAACCCUACAGAGACAUUCUUGCGUAAACAGAAGUGGGUUACACGUUAACAGUAACUUUGUACACACAAGACUAACAGGACAAAAUGAUAAAAAAUGAAGUGACAGCUCUCUCCCGUUUGACCAGCUUCCUGUAGAGGUUAACAGAGAAAUACACACUCAAGAGUGGUCUCAAAAACAUAUACAUUCAUGGUCUCAUUUUCCUAGCUCCUGUUUGUUUGAUCAGAACAACAUUGCUCAUUGGUAAGCAGUGAUGGAAAUUCUGUUUUCAUACCACCCCGCCCAGUGCCCUGGUUGCCUUAGCCUGGUGUGGCAGUGUCCACCUGUUGGGUCUUCAGCUGGGCAGCUCAGCCUCCAUGACUUUCCAGGCUAAUGGGAUCUGCCAUCUACCAUAAUCUACCCAUUAUAUGUCCAGGCAAAGUCUGCUUCUCCCAGAUCACCCAAAGUUCAAAAGAGAUGUCGUGGCUACGAUUACUUUGCUUUGAAGAGUAGCACUCUGAUAAAACAAUGCCCUGUGAUACGAUUCCAUGAGUCUUAACUGGAGUCAGCUAGUGCUGAACCACCUUUUAACCCCAAGUUGCGUAGUUCAGGUCCCGCAGGGCAGGGCCGACUAGUUCUCGAAGAAUUCAUUAAAAUUCUUCUGCCCCACGGUUUGAUUUAAUAUUCAGUCACACUCGUUUCAGUUAAGAUUUCUCAGAAGUAUGUUUAAGCUUUAAGAUUAAUCAUAUUUGUGCCUUACAAUAGGAUGAAAGUGCUCAAAAGAGAACUGACCACGUCAGUGCUUUCCACACAAUAGAAGGGCCCGUUGCAAUCUCUGCAUAACAAGUUAACGUGCAUAAAGAAAAGAAGGAGGAACUACAUCAGAUGUAACAUUUGGGUAGGCAGAAGUAGCAAGAUGAUCUGCAAUAACACCAUCUGGCGAACGCCUGUUUCCUUCUUCAGCAGCCGAGAGCUAUGUGUAACUAUAAACACAGAAUAAGAUAGAAAUAAUGCAAAACCUCUUUCCAGUCAACUGUUACACAGAACGAACUAACAGUUGCUCAGGGAAUGCAGAAAAGAAUACUCUUGAAAAUAGUAGGAUAUUUGAGCAAACUGUUUCUAUGAACACAUGAACAAAUCCUGCAAACAGAAUGCAGAGCAGGUAAGCUUAGUGCCAGACUGGAGAGCAACAAUUCUGGCAAUGCUGAGCGGCAAUGAUUUAACCAUUACACAAGAAAAGUUCAUCCCUUGGCAGCAUGAAAUCGAGCCAGCAGGACAUCUCCACAUGUUAUGCUUAAGCAAUCCCACUGGUGCCAGUGAGAACUCUCACAUUUCUGUGCUGACGCGCUUUGCUGGGUUGCACCUAGAACUGCGCUACUCAACUUUUGUUGAGGUCAGCAAAAUUACAGAAGUCCGUCCAAGAAAUUGCAGCUUCAAACUAGAUGCUUGAUAGUGUUCGUGGAGGAAGAAAUGAGUAAGCAUUCAGGUGAUUUAACAUUAGUCCUACAGUUUGAUGUUUAGCAUUGUAUCUAUAAAACUGAAAAGAACAGACCUCCAUUUUUUACUGAAUCUUUCUGUUACUUUGAAGUUAAUAAAAGAUUUCCAAAAUGCUUGAAAAGACAAAGCAGCACUGGCAAUGAAAAAGCAAAGCCACAAAAAUCUUAAAUCCAGCCUUUGUGGGAUAAGUGUAAUCUUUUAACAACUACAGACAUCUACAGGCAAGGAAGAGAAGUAGCGUUUGCCUGGUCUCCAGUCACAUAGGUCUGGAAGAGUCCACGAAAAGUAUUUUGAAGAUGCUACUCUGUUCACUGAACAAGUCAGAGAGAAAUGAAUUUUGCAUGAGUUUACAUCCAAUAGGAGCCAAAGGUAAACUAACACUACAAGUCAGUAUCCAAGAGGGAAAAAAUAAAU
Long non-coding RNA from Cygnus olor (mute swan), 2699 nucleotides. RefSeq lists it as uncharacterized. NCBI's taxonomy places the organism in Eukaryota, Metazoa, Chordata, Aves, Anseriformes, Anatidae. The record is from RefSeq and is a predicted model, not a curated record. The transcript has 3 exons.